Long non-coding RNA from Clupea harengus (Atlantic herring), 2049 nucleotides. The record is from Ensembl. Lineage: Eukaryota; Metazoa; Chordata; Actinopteri; Clupeiformes; Clupeidae.
CUGAUAAUGCCUUCUGAUUGGCUGUAACCCCGUGGGAGGAGACGUCUGAUAAUGCCUUCUGAUUGGCUGUAACCCCGUGGGAAGAGACGUCUGAUAAUGCCUUCUGAUUGGCUGUAACCCUGUGGGAAGAGACGUCUGAUAAUGCCUUCUGAUUGGCUGUAACCCCGUGGGAAGAGACGUCUGAUAAUGUGAUCAUGGACUUCUGUGGAGUCGAGACACCGGAGGAUGUCACCAUGGAUACCACCUGAUGUCGCCAUGGAUACCACCUGAUGUCACCAUGGAUACCACCAGAUGUCGCCAUGGAUACCACCUGAUGUCACCAUGGAUACCACCAGAUGUCGCCAUGGAUACCACCUGAUGUCGCCAUGGAUACCACCAGAUGUCGCCAUGGAUACCACCUGAUGUCGCCAUGGAUACCACCAGAUGUCGCCAUGGAUACCACCUGAUGUCGCCAUGGAUACCACCAGAUGUCGCCAUGGAUACCACCUGAUGUCGCCAUGGAUACCACCAGAUGUCGCCAUGGAUACCACCUGAUGUCGCCAUGGAUACCACCAGAUGUCGCCAUGGAAACCACUCACUGGCCAUGCCAGCCAAUCAACCGCGAGGAAUCUAGACGGUGACCUCAGAGCCAGGUCGUCCAACUGAGCCUUUUUUGCUGGAGGGUGUGAGUGAGAGUUAAAGGAGUAAGAAGAGUGUGUGUGUGAGAGUUAAAGGAGUAAGAAGAGUGUGUGUGUGUGUGUGAGAGUUAAAGGAGUAAGAAGAGUGUGUGUGUGUGUGUGUGAGAGUUAAAGGAGUAAGAAGAGUAAGAGUGUGUGUGUGAGAGUUAAAGGAGUAAGAAGAGUGUGUGUGUGUGUGUGAGAGUUAAAGGAGUAAGAAGAAAGUGUGUGUGUGUGUGAGAGUUAAAGGAGUAAGAAGAGUGUGUGUGUGUGUGUGUGAGAGUUAAAGGAGUAAGAAGAGUGUGUGUGUGUGUGUGUGAGAGUUAAAGGAGUAAGAAGAGUGUGUGUGUGUGUGUGUUAAAGGAGUAAGAAGAGUGUGUGUGUGUGAGAGUUAAAGGAGUAAGAAGAGUGUGUGUGUGUGAGAGUUAAAGGAGUAAGAAGAGUGUGUGUGUGUGUGUGAGAGUAGCAGAGAUCUUUAUGUGUCAGUCGAUGUGUAACUAAGAGCAGGAAGGAUGACCAUGUGUACGUGUGUGUAUGUGUGUAUAUGUGUGUAUAUGUGUGUAGGAUGUGUGUGUGUGUAUGUGUGUGUGUAUAUAUGUGUAGGAUGUGUAGGAUGUGUGUGUGUGUAUGUGUGUGUGUAUAUGUGUGUAGGAUGUGUAGGAUGUGUGUGUGUGUAUGUGUGUAUGUGUGUGUGUAUAUGUGUGUAGGAUGUGUAGGAUGUGUGUAUGUGUGUGUGUAUAUGUGUGUAGGAUCAGUGGGGAUGUGUGUAUAUAUGUGUGUUUGUGUGUAGGAUCAGUGGGGAUGUGUGUGUAUAUGUGUGUAGGAUGUGUUGGAUGUGUAGGAUGUGUGUGUGUAUAUGUGUAGGAUCAGUGGGGAUGUGUGUGUGUAGGAUGUAUAGGAUGUGUGUGAUAUAGGUGUGUAAACAUGAAGUGUGUGUGAUAUAGAUGUGUAAACAUGAAGUGUGUGUGUGUGUGCAAACAUGAAGUGUGUGUGAUGCCUUCUCUCACACCCCUGAGCCCUGUGAAGAUAUACGCAGACCUCCUCAGUCCUGUGAACUCAACCAAACUGAUCCAGCUGUACUGUGCCCACCCCGCCGAUGGCAGCCGGAACUGGCCCGGAACUGGCCCGGAAGCUGGCCCACAUCUGCCAUAUAGCCCUCAACUCAACACUGCCUCACGGAGUCUGCGCACAGAGAAGGAGUUUAACGAGUUUAACGAGUUUAAAGAUUAGACUUUUGUACUGUUGGACAACAAUAUGCAGUCAGAACUGUGAUUCAUGACCUGUGAUGACAACAACAUACACACCCGACACUUUGUCCCUUUUUGGAAAUGAAUCGUUGAUGUUUGAAUAUUAGGUGUAUAAAAAAUAUAUUCUUAUCCUGUUUUUAAAACGA